Molecule: long non-coding RNA, 365 nt
Filed under: Homo sapiens (human)
Lineage: Eukaryota; Metazoa; Chordata; Mammalia; Primates; Hominidae
Description: HSALNT0031440
Source: RNAcentral
UUGCAGGAAAUUACACCUCAUCCAGCUGAAUGCAAGAUAACUCUGAUAGGAAUUUGCUGACUAGAAGAAUAUCAGCUGACAGCACUAAAUGAAAAUUAGGCAGCAGCUUAAAAGAAAAGAGAACUGUCCCCUCAACUUGCCCUAGUAUUUGGCAGGGAAAUAAGCAAGCUCUAGACCCUGGAGACAAAGAAGGAAGGAUGGAAUUGCUGAGAGAAAGAAGAGUGAAGUGCCUAAAGUUCACUUUUGAGGUUUAUAAAACAUUUUUAAGACUGACAUCUGACCUCUGAAGGCUCUGCAAUCCCUUUUUCAGGUUUAUUUCCCCAGGUGCUGAAGAAGUAAGAGGGAAAAGGUCCAAACAUCAGUUU